Molecule: ribosomal RNA, 485 nt
Filed under: uncultured bacterium
Lineage: Bacteria
Description: partial 16S ribosomal RNA
Rfam family: Bacterial small subunit ribosomal RNA
Source: RNAcentral
GACGAACGCUGGCGGCGUGCUUAACACAUGCAAGUCGAACGAUGAAGCCGGAGCUUGCUCUGGUGAAUUAGUGGCGAACGGGUGAGUAACACGUGAGUAACCUGCCCUUGACUCUGGGAUAACUGCGGGAAACUGUAGCUAAUACCGGAUACGACCCUCGGAGGCAUCUCCUGGGGGGUGGAAAGAAUUUCGGUCAAGGAUGGACUCGCGGCCUAUCAGCUAGUUGGUGAGGGAAAGGCUCACCAAGGCGACGACGGGUAGCCGGCCUGAGAGGGUGACCGGCCACACUGGGACUGAGACACGGCCCAGACUCCUACGGGAGGCAGCAGUGGGGAAUAUUGAACAAUGGGCGCAAGCCUGAUGCAGCAACGCCGCGUGAGGGAUGACGGCCUUCGGGUUGUAAACCUCUUUUAGCAGGGAAGAAGCGAAAGUGACGGUACCUGCAGAAAAAGCACCGGCUAACUACGUGCCAGCAGCCGCCGUAA